UCGUGCGCUCUUGUGCUGCGGCCUCUUGCACGGCUGCAUGCGAUUAACGGGCUGCAGUGUUUGAAGGGAGACCAACCUCCUUCCACGGAAGUGAGCAAGGCAGACCUUUGGUGACAUUCACACCCUUGAUUAUGCGAGCUGACAGUCGGGAAAGUUGGUUAGUGAUCCGGACACUGCUUCAGAGGGGAUCAGAUUGAUAAAGG
Long non-coding RNA from Egretta garzetta (little egret), 203 nucleotides. RefSeq lists it as uncharacterized. The transcript has 2 exons. The record is from RefSeq and is a predicted model, not a curated record. NCBI's taxonomy places the organism in Eukaryota, Metazoa, Chordata, Aves, Pelecaniformes, Ardeidae.